GACGAAUGCUGGCGGCGUGCUUAACACAUGCAAGUCGAACGGAAAGGCCUGCUUUCCCUUGUGGAUUGCGGGUACUCGAGUGGCGAACGGGUGAGUAACACGUGAGUGAUCUGCCCCCAACUUGGGUAUAAGCCUGGGAAACUGGGUCUAAUUCCCGAUAGGACUGCAGGGUGGUGCCUGUGGUGGAAAACGAUUUUCUAGUGGUUGGGGAUGAGCUCGCGGCCUAUCAGCUUGUUGGUGGGGUAAUGGCCUACCAAGGCGGCGACGGGUAGCCGGCCUGGGAGGGUGGACGGCCACAUUGGGACUGAGAUACGGCCCAGACUCCUACGGGAGGCAGCAGUGGGGAAUAUUGCACAAUGGGCGGAAGCCUGAUGCAGCGACGCCGCGUGGGGGAUGACGGCCUUCGGGUUGUAAACUCCUUUCGACCGCGAGGAAGCCACCUGGUUGGAAGGGUGGUGACGGUAGUGGUAGAAGAAGCACCGGCUAACUACGUG
This 494-nucleotide ribosomal RNA is filed under the name uncultured bacterium. RNAcentral describes it as "partial 16S ribosomal RNA". It matches the Rfam family "Bacterial small subunit ribosomal RNA", at positions 28 to 507 of the family's 1533-position model. The record is from RNAcentral.